AUGCGCGUUGAUGGGAUACCUAAAUUUCCAUGGCGAACUGCUCAGUAACACAUGAUCAACUUACCCUAUAGAAGAAAUAACUUCGGGAAACUGGGGAUAAUGCUUCAUAAUUGAAUCUGCUUGGAAAGGUUUUUCAAUAAAAGAAAUUUUGAAAAUGGUCCUUUUUGCCAUAGGAUAGGAUCGCGCCCGAUUAUGGUUGUUGGUGAGGUAAUGGCUCACCAAACCUAUUAUCGAUAAGGGCCGUGAGAGCGGAAGCCCUGAGAUGGGUACUGAGACAAUGACCCAGGUCUUACGAGACGCAGCAGGCGCGAAACCUUCGCAAUGCACGAAAGUGAGAUGAGGUUACCCGGAGUGUUCCUUAGACUGGGGUAAGGGAAUAAUGGUCCCUUGUAAAAAAGAAAAGGCAAGGGUGGGGGCCACCCCCCCGGUAAAACCCACUCUUCAGUGGUCCGGAAUAAUAAUGGGCUUUAAGUGGUCCUAACCCGGUUAAUUAAUUUCUGGGUUAAUCCGGAAACUUAACUAACUUGUUGGUAAGAAUACUGCUAUUCUAAGGGGGGGGAAAGGUCCGAAGGAAUUCCGGGGUAAGGGUGAAAUCGUAAUAUCCUUGGAGGAACCACCAUGGCCAAAGGCUCCGAAUGGAACCCCGCCGAACGUGAAGGAACAAAACCAAGGGAACCAACCCGAAUAAAAUACCCGGUAGCCUGGGCGGUAAACGAUGCAGGCUAAGUUGUGGAUUGCUAAUGAGCGUAGUCAGUUCCGUAAGAAACCGAUAAGCGGGCCGCUGGGAGUACGGUCGCCAAGCUGAAACUUAAAGGAAUUGGCGGGGGAGCACCACACAGGGUGAGGCCUGCGUCAUGAUUCACGCCAAGACCGGAA
RNAcentral lists this ribosomal RNA (876 nucleotides) under uncultured crenarchaeote. RNAcentral describes it as "bacterial SSU rRNA". It matches the Rfam family "Archaeal small subunit ribosomal RNA", at positions 51 to 923 of the family's 1478-position model. Lineage: Archaea; Thermoproteati; Thermoproteota. The record is from RNAcentral.